GGGGGGGGGGGGGGGGGGGGGGGGGGGGGGGGGGGGGGGGGGGGGGGGGGGGUGCGGGGUGGCGGCGGGGGGCGGGGGGGUGGGUAGUGCCUCGGAGCGUGCCCGGUAGUGGGGGGGGGCCGGGCGCGCGCCGGGUUAAUACCGCCUCCGACCUGCCGGUGACAGCGGGGGGCCGACAGGCCGCGCGCCAUCGGCGCGGCCGAUGUCGGAUUAGCUGGUUGGUGGGGUAACGGCUUACCAAGGCGACGAUCCGUAGCUGGUCUGAGAGGACGACCAGCCACACUGGGACUGAGACACGGCCCAGACUCCUACGGGAGGCAGCAGUGGGGAAUUUUGGACAAUGGGGGCAACCCUGAUCCAGCCAUGCCGCGUGCGGGAAGAAGGCCUUCGGGUUGUAAACCGCUUUUGUUCGGGAAGAAAUCCUCUGGGCUAAUACCCCGGGGGGAUGACGGUACCGGAAGAAUAAGCACCGGCUAACUACGUG
Molecule: ribosomal RNA, 484 nt
Filed under: uncultured bacterium
Lineage: Bacteria
Description: partial 16S ribosomal RNA
Rfam family: Bacterial small subunit ribosomal RNA (bases 60-484)
Source: RNAcentral